AGAUUUUAUAAACCGGGCCUUUGUACUGUGACUGAACUGCAUCAGUUAGGCAGGGGAAGCAAGAUGGAAUCACAGACACAGGUCCUCAUGUUCCUGCUGCUCUGGGUAUCUGGUACAUCUUUGGACAUUGAGGUGACCCAAUCUCCAUCCUCCCUGGGUGUUUCAGCAGGAGAGAAUGUCACUAUGAGCUGCAAAUCUAGUCAGAGUCUUUUAUGGAUUAAAGACCAGAAGAACUACUUGGUCUGGUUCCAGCAGAAACCAGGGCAGCCUCCUAAACCACUGAUCUACUAUGCAUCCACUAGAGCAUCUGGGGUCCCUGAACGCUUCAUAGGCAGUGGAUCUGGGACAGAUUUCACUCUUACCAUCAGCAGUGUACAGGCUGAAGACCUGGCAGUUUAUUACUGUCAUCAGCAUUAUGAUACUCCUCCACAGUGCUUCAGCCUCCUACAAAAUCCUCCUUGA
Molecule: non-coding RNA, 462 nt
Organism: Apodemus sylvaticus (European woodmouse)
Lineage: Eukaryota; Metazoa; Chordata; Mammalia; Rodentia; Muridae
Source: the annotation of a RefSeq genome assembly